This 401-nucleotide ribosomal RNA is filed under the name uncultured bacterium. RNAcentral describes it as "bacterial SSU rRNA". It matches the Rfam family "Bacterial small subunit ribosomal RNA", at positions 355 to 773 of the family's 1533-position model. The record is from RNAcentral.
UGGGGAAUAUUGGACAAUGGGCGAAAGCCUGAUCCAGCAAUGCCGCGUGAGUGAUGAAGGCCUUAGGGUUGUAAAGCUCUUUUACCCGGGAUGAUAAUGACAGUACCGGGAGAAUAAGCCCCGGCUAACUCCGUGCCAGCAGCCGCGGUAAUACGGAGGGGGCUAGCGUUGUUCGGAAUUACUGGGCGUAAAGCGCACGUAGGCGGCUUUGUAAGUUAGAGGUGAAAGCCCGGGGCUCAACUCCGGAACUGCCUUUAAGACUGCAUCGCUAGAAUUGUGGAGAGGUAAGUGGAAUUCCGAGUGUAGAGGUGAAAUUCGUAGAUAUCGGGAGGAACACCGGUGGCGAAGGCGGUUCUCUGGGCCUUACCUGACACUGAGGAGCGAAAGCGUGGGGAGCGAAC